RNAcentral lists this ribosomal RNA (253 nucleotides) under uncultured bacterium. Its description in RNAcentral is "partial 16S ribosomal RNA". It matches the Rfam family "Bacterial small subunit ribosomal RNA", at positions 524 to 776 of the family's 1533-position model. The record is from RNAcentral.
UACGUAGGGGGCAAGCGUUGUCCGGAUUUAUUGGGCGUAAAGAGCGUGUAGGCGGCCAGACAGGUCAGCUGUGAAAACUCGAGGCUCAACCUCGAGACGUCGGUUGAAACCGUCUGGCUAGAGUCCGGAAGAGGAGAGUGGAAUUCCCGGUGUAGCGGUGAAAUGCGCAGAUAUCGGGAAGAACACCCGUGGCGAAGGCGGCGACCUGGUCCGAUACUGACGCUGAGGCGCGAAAGCGUGGGGAGCAAACAGG